Molecule: ribosomal RNA, 209 nt
Filed under: Dynamenella sp. RW03.252.797
Lineage: Eukaryota; Metazoa; Arthropoda; Malacostraca; Isopoda; Sphaeromatidae
Description: partial 16S ribosomal RNA
Source: RNAcentral
UUAAUUGAAAGCUCGUAUGAACGAUCCGACGAAAAAUUACCUGUCUUAAGCCCGCUAAAAACUUUUUACGAGAGUCAAAAACCUCUCACUCUUCAAUAGGACGACAAGACCCUGCAAAACUUUACCCGUUAUAGUUCAAACUCAGAGAUCUUUACCCCUUACUCGGGUUUUACUGGGGCGGUAAUAGUUUCUCCAAACAAUUAACACUC